UCCUAGCAUGUAGCAAUGCAUUAGUAUGAUUCCUUGCCGGACCACUAUCAACUUGCUAUCAAUAGUAGUUUAAAAAUCCAUUCAGGAGAUCAACCACGGAGUUCCAUGCCUUUAAAAUUCAAUUAAUCUUGAUGUGAACUUGCUGUGGGAGAAAGGUGUACCAGUGUACCUGAAACACACAAAUAAUCCUGGAACAGUAUUUGUUGACUACUUAAACCUUUGCCUUGGGCUGUAAUUAACUGGCCCUAGGUGUCUCCUACACGACUGACUAGACCUAUCUACGUGACACCUUUGAUUUUUGAACACUACCACGUUUCUUAUUAACCUCUUGAAGGUUAAGAAUACUUAACUUUUAAAAUAAAGAUGCUCCGUGCAUCUAAUCCAGCGUUGAUCUUCCUCUGCCUGCGUUGAUCGGUGAUUUCCUUUGAUUCCAGCGUUGUCUUGAGUCUUGAUGUGUUUAAUUAUUCUGGUUCUUUAUCCAAUUCCUUGGUUUAGAACUUUAUUUCUCGGCUAGUGCUGUUCUGCUAGCCAUCCUCUCUCUCUGCCUGCUCAGAGUGCUCUGGCGGCGUUCCUCUUUUAUUCUCAUACGCGCUGCGCGCGCCGCUCAUGCGCAGUGGGUUACCCCCACUCCUUCCUUUUCGCCUCUUUCCGUGGGGACGCCGGCCGUUGGCGCGAACUCCCUCUAACGGUCAUCGCCAUCUUGGCUUCGUACCGGUCUGAGCUACUGAUCCGCUCUACAGUUUUGUGCAAUUCUCGUCUUGCUUUUUCCGACAAUGGCGCCCCGUGUCUUGAUCAAUCACUACACUGGUUAUAAUCUGAACGACCGAGAAGUUCAGAAAGUAAGUAUUAGUCUUUAAAUUCUCCCGUUCGCUUAGAUUUCCAUUGGGCCGUUAAGGUGCCUUAGAGUGCUAAUGCUCCGUGUCUUUUUAGAUCUGUGGAAAGUGUAUCCAAGCUACAACUGGGCACCCUCUCUGGAUCGUUUUUAAUCCCUCCUAUAUUGUCUUGGACGUUUAUGUCCCUGCGUUCAUUCUCGUGGACGAGGAGUUCUAUAAAUGUGGCUGUUGUCUGGGGAAAUGCUACAUGGUGAUUCCUCCACAUGGAAAUCCUCCAGACAAAAAUGAGUAUGUUGUGCCGCAAGUCCCGCCCCCCGGGCGUCGAGUACCCGGCUCUUGACCCUGCUCUAGUGGAUCUAAUUUUGGAUAACCAGGAUUUUGAGGACAUCCUUCAUGACGUUGAACAUGGUCAAGAUUUCGACAUGAUCGAUUUGGUCAGCGACGAUGAAGAAGACGUUAUCGUCCUAAACUGAGAUCUUCCGCUUCAAUGGGGUUGCCCCUGCCCCCGCCCCCGCCUUCUUGGUGGAGGAGUGAGGAUGUGAUAUUAGGCUACUUUUGUUAUUGUUACCAUUUGCCUAAUGGAUUAUUUAUUCUGCUACUCGC
This is a long non-coding RNA of Frankliniella occidentalis (western flower thrips), 1436 nucleotides long. RefSeq lists it as uncharacterized. The transcript is spliced from 4 exons. NCBI's taxonomy places the organism in Eukaryota, Metazoa, Arthropoda, Insecta, Thysanoptera, Thripidae. The record is from RefSeq and is a predicted model, not a curated record.